GACGAACGCUGGCGGCGUGCUUAACACAUGCCAGUCGAACGGAAAGGCCCUGCUUUUGUGGGGUGCUCGAGUGGCGAACGGGUGAGUAACACGUGAGUAACCUGCCCUUGACUUUGGGAUAACUUCAGGAAACUGGGGCUAAUACCGGAUAGGAGCUCCUGCUGCAUGGUGGGGGUUGGAAAGUUUCGGCGGUUGGGGAUGGACUCGCGGCUUAUCAGCUUGUUGGUGGGGUAGUGUCUUACCAAGGCUUUGACGGGUAGCCGGCCUGAGAGGGUGACCGGCCGCAUUGGGACUGGGAUACGGCCCAGACUCCUACGGGAGGCAGCGGUGGAGAAUAUUGCACAAUGGGCGGAAGCCUGAUGCAGCAACGCCGCGUGCGGGAUGACGGCCUUCGGGUUGUAAACCGCUUUCGCCUGUGACGAAGCGUGAGUGACGGUAAUGGGUAAAGAAGCACCGGCUAACUACGUG
Molecule: ribosomal RNA, 468 nt
Filed under: uncultured bacterium
Lineage: Bacteria
Description: partial 16S ribosomal RNA
Rfam family: Bacterial small subunit ribosomal RNA
Source: RNAcentral